This 253-nucleotide ribosomal RNA is filed under the name uncultured bacterium. RNAcentral describes it as "partial 16S ribosomal RNA". It matches the Rfam family "Bacterial small subunit ribosomal RNA", at positions 524 to 776 of the family's 1533-position model. The record is from RNAcentral.
UACGUAGGGUGCAAGCGUUAAUCGGAAUUACUGGGCGUAAAGCGCACGUAGGCGGCUUUGCAAGUUAGAGGUGAAAGCCCGGGGCUCAACUCCGGAAUUGCCUUUAAAACUGCAUCGCUAGAAUUGUGGAGAGGUAAGUGGAAUUCCGAGUGUAGAGGUGAAAUUCGUAGAUAUUCGGAAGAACACCAGUGGCGAAGGCGACUUACUGGACACAUAUUGACGCUGAGGUGCGAAAGCGUGGGGAGCAAACAGG